This 428-nucleotide ribosomal RNA is filed under the name uncultured bacterium. Its description in RNAcentral is "bacterial SSU rRNA". It matches the Rfam family "Bacterial small subunit ribosomal RNA", at positions 957 to 1391 of the family's 1533-position model. The record is from RNAcentral.
GAACGCGAAGAACCUUACCAGGGCUUGACAUUUAGGUGAAGCGGCGGAAACGUCGUGGCCGAAGGGAGCCUAAACAGGUGGUGCAUGGCUGUCGUCAGCUCGUGUCGUGAGAUGUUAGGUUAAGUCCUGCAACGAGCGCAACCCUCGUCGUAUGUUGCCAGCGGUUAGGCCGGGCACCCAUACGAGACCGCCGGCGUCAAGCCGGAGGAAGGUGGGGACGACGUCAAGUCAUCAUGCCCUUAUGUCCUGGGCUACACACGUGCUACAAUGGCCGGCACAAUGGGCUGCCAACCCGCGAGGGUGAGCGAAUCCCUAAAGCCGGUCCCAGUUCGGAUUGGAGGCUGCAACCCGCCUCCAUGAAGUCGGAGUUGCUAGUAAUCGCGGAUCAGAAUGCCGCGGUGAAUACGUUCCCGGGUCUUGUACACACC